GGCGGCAGGCCUAACACAUGCAAGUCGAGCGGUAGAGAGAAGCUUGCUUCUCUUGAGAGCGGCGGACGGGUGAGUAAUGCCUAGGAAUCUGCCUGGUAGUGGGGGAUAACGCUCGGAAACGGACGCUAAUACCGCAUACGUCCUACGGGAGAAAGCAGGGGACCUUCGGGCCUUGCGCUAUCAGAUGAGCCUAGGUCGGAUUAGCUAGUUGGUGAGGUAAUGGCUCACCAAGGCGACGAUCCGUAACUGGUCUGAGAGGAUGAUCAGUCACACUGGAACUGAGACACGGUCCAGACUCCUACGGGAGGCAGCAGUGGGGAAUAUUGGACAAUGGGCGAAAGCCUGAUCCAGCCAUGCCGCGUGUGUGAAGAAGGUCUUCGGAUUGUAAAGCACUUUAAGUUGGGAGGAAGGGCAUUAACCUAAUACGUUGGUGUCUUGACGUUACCGACAGAAUAAGCACCGGCUAACUCUGUGCCAGCAGCCGCGGUAAUACAGAGGGUGCAAGCGU
This 508-nucleotide ribosomal RNA is filed under the name uncultured Gammaproteobacteria bacterium. RNAcentral's name for it is "bacterial SSU rRNA". It matches the Rfam family "Bacterial small subunit ribosomal RNA", at positions 38 to 541 of the family's 1533-position model. The record is from RNAcentral. Lineage: Bacteria; Pseudomonadati; Pseudomonadota; Gammaproteobacteria.